Long non-coding RNA from Poecile atricapillus (Black-capped chickadee), 3218 nucleotides. RefSeq lists it as uncharacterized. The record is from RefSeq and is a predicted model, not a curated record. The transcript has 4 exons. NCBI's taxonomy places the organism in Eukaryota, Metazoa, Chordata, Aves, Passeriformes, Paridae.
CCGACCCGAGGGAGCCCCGGCGUCACCCGAGCCCCGCGGACAGAGCGGCGGGGACCGACUCGGCUCUUCCCGUCCGGGUGCAAAGACCCGCUCCGCCUCGGCGAUGCCCCGGGGAACCGGUGCCGGGAAUGCUCCGCCGCGAGAGAUUUCCUGCUGGGCGACGAGGGGAAGCGCCCUCGAAAUCGGCGGCACCGCCCGAUUUUAACCCUUCGAAUGCUGCAGAAGGUGGCGAUUCCUGCAAUUUAACCCCAGAACCUGAGACAACGUGGGCUGUUUACCUCCAUUUAAACUGAUACAAUAGCAAAAAAGGACGCUUUGGAGGGACGGGGAAGAUGAAAUCAAAAGGAAAAAGGAGAAAGCUUCCCCCUGCAAAUCCAUGCACUGGUUCAUCUGCUUGGCUGCUGCUGCUUGACGGAGGUUCAAAGCAGACGUAACUUCCUAGCGAAGAACCAUGGAAACUCAUCAGCUGCAGAGACGAGCAGACGGCCCAAAGAGCGGAAGAGCGAGCACGCCGAUGUGAACCGUAUCGAGACCGCAGUUGACGGCUGAACGCCUUUGAUCCCGCGUGCGAGAGCGAUGAACUUUGGGUUUCGUGUGAAAGAGUAGGAAAAUCGAUAUUGUAAGGCCUCAUUUGUUAAAGCGUGGUGUGAACUGUGUCAAGAUUCAGAAUCCUGCAUGAGAGAUAAAGUCCUUGAAGAUGAAGGUGAAUCAGGUAUCACCCUUGAGCUGUAUCAUUUUGUUGAUCGCUUUAUGAUGCAAUUUCACCUGCGUCGCUUCUUUUAGUUAACUCAAAAGAAAGUGUACCUUAUCUCAGUGAAAAUAGAUUUUUGUAUAAUAUUCAAUUUUUCUUUUUAUUUAGCAUGUUCUAUAUAAAGAGGCAACAUCUUAGUGUAACCUUAUAUCAAUCUUAGUCACACUUGAUUGUGAAGAGUUUGACUCAUGAAAUUUCAGAUGGAUAUUUAUAACAACUCAGCUUUCAAUUCAAGUAGUUUCAGCAGAAACUUUAAAGCAAUUAGACAAAUUAAGCUACCGGUUAAGUUAGCAACCUAGAUCUAUUUCUCUAGCUUUGAGUGGUUAGUUAACGGAUGUUCAAAACUGGAGGCAGAGCGCUCUGUAGAACAGAGCAGCAGUUCUGUUGUUGGUGCAUAGGGCUUGAGAGAAGGAAAAAUAACCCUGAGUCAAAAUUAAUCAAAGAAAAGGUUUGGGUUGAUUUUUUUUUUUUUUUUCUUUUUUUAAGGAGUGGGGCAAAUGUUGGAGUCUGGAAUACAGAGUGCGUACCCUUGUUUCUGAUACUUAGUUAUAAGAUCCAGAAAAACAUUGAAUUUCAUAUAAUAUGAAAUUCAUGAGCAUGUUUUCAUGGUGAUACAUGAAAACAAAUGUUCAAGUUAGAUAGAAAAAGCUAAAAGUGUAAGGGUAUAGAUUAGAAAGUUUUUUUAAAUCACUGGGUGAAAAAGUUUAGAGAACAGGAGACAAGAUGGAGGAUUUAGGGUGUUGUCUCUUGUCCCUUUUUCUUUCUUCUGCAUGUUCUUCUCAGAGAGAUCAGAGAUGUUAAGAGAGACACCGGGGUUUCUGAUAAGCCCCCGGAAGGGAUAAGGCGAGGCACGUACGACACGAGAGGUACGAAAGGCACGGGAGGCACGGUAGAAAAGUGACACGACGCACCCCGGGAUUGCUCUGUCCUGCGCACCUCAGCACUGUGAGCCAAAGUGAGGCUUUCCCUUGAGGUGGCCUAAGGGGACACAGCUUGGACCUCCACAUCUCCAAAGCUGACUCAAGAAUCCUUGGCCACGUGUGCUGACCUAGCACACCGCUUUCAUGCCCCUCUGUAGGUCUUGGACUUCGACUUAGCUCUCAUAUGCGUGGGGACGAGAAGCCACGUGGGGCACAAGGGAAGGCCGCCUCACCGUCUGGCACGUUUCUGGCAGGCUGUUGUCUCUUGGACAGGUACAAUAAAGAAAACCAAAUAUCAGUGCAAGAUCUUAGCAGCACAUCUGUGAAAACCCAACACUCGCGGUCUCCUGACAAUGGCUGGGUCCUUCGCCUGCAUGCUUCAGCCCCGCUGGGAUGCUGAGGCUUGCGGAGCGAAACUCUUCAAGCGGUAUUGCUGUGGAUCCGAACGAACCGCCGCCUUGAUGAGGUUUGGGAGCCUCCCCGGUUGCGGAUGAACGGGGAGCCCGGGGUGGGCCGGGGCUGGAAACCCCUGGUUAUCCCACACAAGCGGGACCUACGUGGCCACUAUCUCUUCUCAACUGGCCCUAGAACACGGUGUACUGCCUGCACCUCUCGGGGUUCUGGCACUCUGCUGCUUUAGGAUUCCUGCCUGCAGCUGCCUCAGGGAAAUGGGAGCACUGUUAGGGCUGCUGUUUAUGGUUGGGGGUGGGGUACAACUGUAUUCUACCGUACCUGUACCCCUUAUUUUGACUGUUUGCUCAGCCUUUUUUUUUUUUUUUGGAACUCUUGUGACAGAUUGAGGGCACUGAGGAGGGACUGCCAAGAUGGAAUCAAAAGGGAAAAGCAGAAAGAUCAGCCCUGCAAAUCCACACUGGCUCACCUGUUGAGCUGCUGUUUCCUGGCAAAAAGCUUUGUCCCUCACCACCUCCUCUGAGCAAUGCUCCAGGUCCAAGUGCAUCCUGGUGCUCCCCCAGACCCUAUGAGAUGCUCUCACCGUCAUGUUGGAGGCUGAGAUACAGACUGUGUGCCCUUGUUUUUAAUAUUUAGUUCUAGGAUUCAAGGAAACACUGAAUUUCAUAUAAUAUGAAAUUCAUGUGCAUGUUUUCAUGGUGACACAUGAAAACAAAUGUUAAAGUUAGAUAGGAAAAGUGUAAAUGUGUAGAUUAGAAAGUUUCUUAAAUCACUGGGUGAAAAAGUAGUUUAGAGAACAGGAGACAAGAUGGAGGAUUUAGGGUGUUGUCUCUUGUCCUUCUUCUUUCUUCUUCAUGUUCUUCUCCUAGGGGUGUUUGGGUAGUAGUAGGUGAUUGGGUAGAAAAUGUCAGAGUGCAGCACACAGGUGUUGGGUCAUUGGGUCACUAAGAAAAAUAAUUUAGUUGGCACCUGUUAAUUGGGUAAAUGGACAUAUAAAAGACCUUGAAGAAGAUCUUUGUUAGCCAUUUUACCCCUUUUCUAUCAUAGUGUACAUAGCUCCUUGUACCUUGUAAUGCUGAUAAGAAAAAAUUAACAACUGAGACCGAACGAGAGAAAACUCACCUCCCUCUCAUCAA